CUCCAUGGCGAUUUAGUCCUCUAGGAUCCAGGAAGUGCUCAUCAGUCUUCUGGAAAUCACCUGCUUCCAGCACUCUUCUAAAACCAUAAAACAUGAUUACCAAUUAACCACAAAAAUAUCUGAAGAUCGCAAAAAUAAAGUGACGCCUGCAGAACUCUCUUCUCUACAGCAACAAGUAGACAGAACUUAAACAAAAGCGAUGCAGAGGGACAAGAUGUGCACCAAAGAGUCAUGGAGAAGGCAAGCGGGACCCUGUAAGAAGGUGCAGGAUGCAGGCUCAGAGGGACUAAGCCGCAUGCUGAUGAGCGUGCUGAGAAGGUGCCCUGUGAGCCAUCUUUGGAAGUGGGUGAGCAUUAGAGGUGAGCCGAGGCAGCAGUGAGGAGGAGCUUGUGGCUGGUGAUUUCUCACAUGUGCAACAGUAAUUUUGUUUCUUGGUAUCUCAAGCAAUGAUGGCCACAGCAUUUGACUCU
Chroicocephalus ridibundus (black-headed gull) is the source of this 470-nucleotide long non-coding RNA. RefSeq lists it as uncharacterized. The record is from RefSeq and is a predicted model, not a curated record. The transcript is spliced from 4 exons. Lineage: Eukaryota; Metazoa; Chordata; Aves; Charadriiformes; Laridae.